GGCGAAUGCAUAAUGAAGCACAAUGUAGCAUGCCACGAACCUCCUGCUCCAAGCAGCAGUUCACUAGACAUGGGUCGAUGAGUUCAGAGAUGGCACUCUUUCGAAGCAGAGGACGUGCCCAUUCACUGAGGGACUGCUGGCCCUUUGGGCGGUUAAUGUCUAUAGCUUUUCUUCCAGUGACAAGUUCCAAUAGUACUAUACCAAAUGAGUAUGCAUCAGCUUUUUCAGUUAUUUGACCACUUUGAGCAUAUUCCGGUGCCAAGUACCCAAACGUUCCAAUUACUCUGGUAUCAACUCCUAAGUUUCCUUCAGGUUGCCACCUUGCCAGCCCAAAGUCUCCAACCAAUGGCUCAAAAU
This 357-nucleotide unclassified non-coding RNA is filed under the name Hevea brasiliensis (rubber tree). The record is from RNAcentral. Lineage: Eukaryota; Viridiplantae; Streptophyta; Magnoliopsida; Malpighiales; Euphorbiaceae.